This 466-nucleotide long non-coding RNA is filed under the name Parus major (Great Tit). RNAcentral describes it as "lncRNA (ENSPMJG00000002526.1)". The record is from RNAcentral. Lineage: Eukaryota; Metazoa; Chordata; Aves; Passeriformes; Paridae.
GUCAGACUGAAUUGAGCUUCAGACAAGGACUACAUCUUCAAAACCUUCAGUGAUGUAAAUUCUUGUGGGAGUGUGAGUUCCUGAACUGAUACAUAAUAUCUACUUUUACUCAGUUAAAAAGAACUGGUUUGGGAAUCUCAGCCCAGAUCUGUACAGAUUUGCAAAGACACCGCUAAAAACAUCUCCUGUGUCUUCACUGACAUUAUUCAAAACCUGGGAGUUCUUCUGAUUUUCCUAGAAGGGGGCUAUAUAGAAAGGAUUUUUCUAUUGGGAAGGAGAGUAAAGCAGCCUUGUUCUCCUACUUGUUAAUUUGAAUCAAUGCAUUUUGUAUUAACUUCCUGUAGUAUAAGGACUUGCCCUUCCAGGUACUUGUAGUGCAGAAUCACAUCAAGUGUGUCUCUAUGGAAAUCUCUGAAUGUUAAAAAAAAAAAAUAAAAAAUUGCUUUGUGCAGUGUGUUACUUAUUU